RNAcentral lists this ribosomal RNA (18 nucleotides) under Podosphaera xanthii. RNAcentral describes it as "partial 28S ribosomal RNA". The record is from RNAcentral. Lineage: Eukaryota; Fungi; Ascomycota; Leotiomycetes; Helotiales; Erysiphaceae.
GAUGACCUCGGAUCAGGU